Molecule: non-coding RNA, 3772 nt
Organism: Oryctolagus cuniculus (rabbit)
Lineage: Eukaryota; Metazoa; Chordata; Mammalia; Lagomorpha; Leporidae
Source: RefSeq, a predicted model, not a curated record
ACAGCGCGCUUGCGCGAGCCGGGGCCGCUCCGCCAGCUGCGCAUGCGUCCUCGCGCCGGGAGCGCUGCUGUACGGCCGCCGGGCGAGGCAGGCAGGCUAGUGGACCUGUUGAUACUGGCUCUGCCGAAUUAGCUAGUAAGAUGCAGUAGAGCUCUCUCUGUCUCCGUCUGUUGGGUGCUGCCUAGGACGCGGUAACAGAGGGAACAGAAGUUCGUUCCUCACGGUUUGGAGGCUGGGAAAUCCAGCAUCUACCAGCAUCCCAUGACAGAAGAGCAAGAGAAUCUCGACAGUGCUGUGGUCUCCUUUCACCUCCUUCCACUUCACUGGUUUCUGUUAGGUGCCCCAGGGAGAGAAAGGCAGUUUUCCACCUAGACACAGACUCAGAAAGUAUCACACUGCUGAUGACAGAUGGCACAAGAAUCCUAAACCCAGCAAUCCAGCUCUAUCCAGAUCCCAAGGGGAUAUGGCUAAAAGUAACUGGAUUAGACAGGAGAGGGAUUUGUACACUAAGUAGUCCAACGUGGUGAUUAAUCGCAUGUGGCAACUUCCUGGGUUAAGCCAACAUUGGCCAGGUGCCUUCUCUCUACCAUGCUCUGUGCAGGUAUGGAGCAGCUUCAAGUAAACUUUCUACAGUAAAACCUGGAGGUGUGUUUUUUCUUUUUAAAACUUUGUAUUUAUUUACAAAGUAGACAGACAUGAAGAUCUAUCCAAUGGAUCUCUCCUCAAAAGCCCUUCAUCACCAACGGAUAGGCCAGACCCAAGCCAGGAGGUGAGGACUCAAUCCAGGUCUCCCACAUGGGAGAUGGGGACCCAGGUACUUGAGCCAUUACCUGCUGCUGUCCAGUGUACAUUAGCAGAAAACUGGACUGGAAGUGGAGUUGGGACUUGAACCCAGCAGAAGUAUGGGGUAGGGGCUUCCCAGGUGGCAUCUUAACCGCUGUGGCAAAUGCCCACCCCUGGAAGCAGACUUUUCAGCCAUUUCUUCCUCUGCCCUUGUAAGUAUACAACCAACAGUGAGUGGCGGUGUGAGAUGUGAACCGGUUGGACAUACAUGCUUCUAAUGCUUAAAUAUCAGUUCUCCCAGCCGAGCUUUGCCAAGUGGUUCAUCCCGGAACAGCUGGCCAGAAGCACUGUUUUCAGGUCCCCUCUGUAUCUUCUCUUCUUCCUCCCUCCUUUUUCUCCAAAGCGCACUUCUUUCACCCUGAGUCUCAGGGCUAGGCUCGCUUAGACCAGGGACACCCCUGUGAGUGUCAGUGUGACAAAGCAAUGCUGGAGAACUUCUCCCAAGGUGCCGUCCAAACAGACCCAUCUGUGCUAAGGAGCUAACAUGUCUGAUUCUACAUUCUGGAAAAUGUCUGUAUUUCCAUCACCAACUGAAACUUUGCGUGCUCAGCUUCUAUGUGCAGCAGCGGGAGCCGUGACUUCAACACGGGCACUGGGAAUGCACUUGUAAACACUGAGCGAGGGUGUGCAGCUGUGAGGACAAGCUAGCAGAGUCCUCUGCUCUUCGGGCUGGCAACGCCACAAUGAUUUAAAAUCUCAAAUUCUUGGACCCUCCCUGGAGAGGAUGGAGCCCUAUUCUCCUGCCCUUGAGUGUGGGCUGGGCUGUGCGACUCACCUCGAACACACAUGGAACAAAGAAGGGAUGGUGUGUCACUUUGGAGACGUGGUGAGCUGCUGUGUCAUGACAGAUCUGCAAGGCCAGGAGCUGAUGCCUCCUCUCUCAGUCCUGUGUGCAAGCCACCUAGGAGGCCUCUUCACAUGACUGCAACCCCAGGACACAUUCUGAGCCAGAACCACCCAGCUAAGCAACUGCCACCUUCCUGACUCUCAGAAAUGGUGUGUUUCGUGAUUUGUGAUGCUUGUGAUUUGAAGCUGCUACAUCUAGGAGAAAUUUGUUAAACAGCAAUACGUCCUAUAUACACCUCCCUGAAGUUCGCCUUGCUGGAAAUCACCUCUCCCACCCCUCCACUUGGUGGCGCUGCUGUGCAGCUGCACACCCACACAAAGUCUCACUAAGAGGAAGAGGGACAUCAGGGCCGUGGCCACUGCUGCACAAAUUAUCCAGCUGCUCUCUGGAUUCAUGUGAGUUAAGCAUUUUUACCUUUUAAAUACACAAUUCAAUUCUGGUAAGCAUGUAAUUUUUCACAAAUACUAAGGAAAAGCAUGAUUUGUCCCAAGAGCCCAUUGAUAUCACACUUUAUCUUAUUAUGAUGCACGUGGAUGGUUCACUCCCCUACACACAUGUGGGUGAGCUUGAGGAGACCAUGGAUUGUAUCAUAUUCAUACCUAUUCUUGAGUCUUUUUGGAGUUACCAGUGGAGAAUGAAUGGAUACAGGAAAUCCGAAAGCCCCGGGAUGAAACAGAAGUGUUUUGGGUUUUAGAUUUCUCAAGUCUGUUUUUGAUUGCAUCUGGUAGGUGGGGGUAGACAGAGUGGACAAGAAUUCCAGGUAGGGGGAAGAUGAGUAUGCACACAUACACACAUACACACACAUGGGCACACACACACACACACACACCAUGUAUAUAUGGCAGGGCUCCUGCAACCAGAGGAGCGUUGAGGCAAUGUGAUGCAAAUGCUGGCAGUUGGGGGCAGGUCAGGUGGACAGUCUAUGUGACAGGGCUGGUGCUGUGGUGCAGUGGGUUAAAUCCUCCACCUGUGGUGCCAGCAUCCCAUGUGGGCACCAGUUCGAGAUCCAGCUGCUCCUCUUCCCAUCCAGCUCUCUGCUCUGGCCUGGGAAAGCAGUGGAAGAUGGCCCAAGUCCUUGGGCCCCUGCACCCGUGUAGGAGACCCGGAGGAAGCUCCUGGCUCCUGGCUUCGGAUCGGCACAGCUCCAGCCAUUGUGGCCAUUUGGGGAGUGAACCAGUGGAUGGAUGGAAGACCUUUCUCACUGUCUCUCUCUCUCUGUAACUCCACCUCUCAAAUAAAUAAAUUAAUUUAAAAAAUACUUAAAAACCCAAAAAACAAACAACAGCAGCAAAAAAACAAAGUCUAUGGGACCCUGAAGGCUGGCAAACUCUGUAAGAAGGAGACCCUAUUUCUGUUGGGAAAAGUGAUGAGUUGGGUGGGAGCCAGGGCUUCUCCUAAUGGAUGGGAGAGAAUUCUACGUGGGCCGUUUCUGUAAAGGCACAGACAUUCUUUGUUCCGACUGUCUUUUGAAGGAUGUUUUAUGGUAAACAGCCCUGAAAAUAGAGCUGUUUCUCGCUGGGAAGCAGGGGGCAGGUUUUUUUGCUGUCCCAGAUAGUAAAGGUAGUAUCUGCCUUAGGCUGAGCAGGUUGCCAUUUAAAAGACCGGGUUUGGAGAGAUCAUUGCCUACCAGUUAAGAUACGAGGUAACACAUCUCACGUCAGAGUACUGGGGUCCAAUUCCCAGCUCUGGGUCCUGACUCUAGCUUCUUGCCAACCCAGACUCUGGGAGGCAGCAGUGAUGCUUCAAGCAAUUGGGUUCCUCGCUCCCACGUAGGAGACCUGGAUUGAAUUCCAGGCUCCAGGCACUGGUCUCCCCUACCCCCAGCCAUUGGGAGCAUUAGGGGAGUAAAUCAGCUGAUGGAAAUUUCCCUCCUCUCCCCCCACCCCAACUCCCUGCCUCUCGAAUAAAUGAAACAAUAGUGCUAAUGAAAGACCAGGGUUAUUUAAGCUCAGAGUUUCCUAGCUAUGAUGCCUAUGCACUGAGGGUGCAGAAUCUGCCCGGGCAGCUCCAUGUUGUUCCCAUGGGACAUCAGGGGUAAGGAAAACUGACACAAACAUGAAACCCAAGGUCACUGCUGCAAAA